RNAcentral lists this unclassified non-coding RNA (240 nucleotides) under soil metagenome. Its description in RNAcentral is "partial contains 5.8S ribosomal RNA, internal transcribed spacer 2, and large subunit ribosomal RNA". The record is from RNAcentral.
AACCAUAGAAACCUGCGGAGUACCUGCGGAGGGAUCAUUUCAGAGUUGCAAAACUCCCUAAACCAUUGUGAACGUUACCUAAACCGUUGCUUCGGCGGGCGGCCCGGGUCCUUCCCGGCGCCCCUCGGCCCUCGCGGGCGCCCGCCGGAGGUAAACCAAACUAUUGCAUUGUAUGGCCUCUCUGAGUCUUCUGUACUGAAUAAGUCAAAACUUUCAACAACGGAUCUCAGAUCGGAAGAG